UACGUAGGUGACGAGCGUUAUCCGGAAUUACUGGGCGUAAAGCGCUCGCAGGCGGUUCCAUGCGUCGUGCGUGAAAGACCCCGGCUCAACUGGGGAGGGUCGUGCGAUACGGUGGGACUCGAGGCCAGUAGGGGGACGCGGAAUUCCGGGUGUAGUGGUGGAAUGCGUAGAGAUCCGGAGGAACACCAGCGGCGAAGGCGGCGUCCUGGACUGGUACUGACGCUCAGGAGCGAAAGCGUGGGGAGCGAUCCGG
Molecule: ribosomal RNA, 253 nt
Filed under: uncultured bacterium
Lineage: Bacteria
Description: partial 16S ribosomal RNA
Rfam family: Bacterial small subunit ribosomal RNA
Source: RNAcentral